UUGAUGUCGUUGCGUGUUGGCUGAUAGCGUAAAAGACACAACCGUCGCCUCUAAAUUCAAGAAAAAAGAAAAAACGAGACCACAAAACUUAAAUUAAAAUAAUCUGUGAAAAUCAGCAAUAAAGUAACAAAAAGUCAAACUUAACGGUAUUCAAAACAAAUAGAUUGUGUUGAGUGCGGCAAUAGAAAAAGUUGAUCAGCCCAAAGGUCACAAAUCAAUAUAAAUUCGCGCUGUUAAAGCCAACAGCCUUGCAAUUGUGAGCAUGUCAUCCGCCAGCCAGGUCAAAAAGCAAAGGCAAACGGCCAAAAUAAACGCGCUGUGUGCUAUUUACGAGUGUGAAUUGCAUUAGGAUUUGUUUGGCCCACUUUGUGUGCUGAAUCGAUUUCUGCUCACGUAUCUUAUGCAAACACCUGCGCACCGCACCGACUGCACCAACUGCGACAAUUCAACUAGCCCGCAGGACAGUGUUAAUCAAUAAAAGCCUGCGCAAGUGCUAAAGCCCGCUUCUUCCGUUUUAACUGCGAUGUCGUAAUACUCAGGAAGUUAUGCAGUUGCCGAGCUGUAAACUUGAGCGCUUCUAUGCCGAGACAGGCUAAGUCCUUCCACUCAGAGUCGUAAUCGUAUCGAAUCAGCCAGAAUAAAAAAGCGAACCCCUCCAUCACAAUGUGGACUAAAGAAAACGCAGCCAGACAGUGGCUGCUGGCCCUGACAGGUAAGAAUUCCA
Molecule: unclassified non-coding RNA, 724 nt
Filed under: Drosophila virilis
Lineage: Eukaryota; Metazoa; Arthropoda; Insecta; Diptera; Drosophilidae
Description: GJ20359
Source: RNAcentral